UACGUAGGUGGCGAGCGUUAUCCGGAAUCAUUGGGCGUAAAGAGGGAGCAGGCGGCGAUACAGGUCUGUGGUGAAAUUCCGAAGCUAAACUUCGGCCAGCCAAAGAAACCGGAUCGCUAGAGUGCGGAAGAGGAUCGUGGAAUUCCAUGUGUAGCGGUGAAAUGCGUAGAUAUAUGGAGGAACACCAGUGGCGAAGGCGACGGUCUGGGCCGCAACUGACGCUCAUUCCCGAAAGCGUGGGGAGC
This 245-nucleotide ribosomal RNA is filed under the name uncultured Kandleria sp. Its description in RNAcentral is "partial 16S ribosomal RNA". It matches the Rfam family "Bacterial small subunit ribosomal RNA", at positions 524 to 769 of the family's 1533-position model. Lineage: Bacteria; Bacillati; Bacillota; Erysipelotrichia; Erysipelotrichales; Coprobacillaceae. The record is from RNAcentral.